This 494-nucleotide ribosomal RNA is filed under the name uncultured bacterium. RNAcentral's name for it is "partial 16S ribosomal RNA". It matches the Rfam family "Bacterial small subunit ribosomal RNA", at positions 28 to 523 of the family's 1533-position model. The record is from RNAcentral.
GAUGAACGCUAGCGGCAGGCUUAACACAUGCAAGUCGAGGGGUAUAGGCUUUCGGGCCUAGAGACCGGCGCACGGGUGCGUAACGCGUAUGCAAUCUGCCUUACACUAAGGGAUAGCCCAGAGAAAUUUGGAUUAAUACCUUAUAGUAUAUUGAUGUGGCAUCACAAUGAUAUUAAAGAUUUAUCGGUGUAAGAUGAGCAUGCGUCCCAUUAGCUAGUUGGUGUGGUAACGGCAUACCAAGGCAAUGAUGGGUAGGGGUCCUGAGAGGGAGAGCCCCCACACUGGUACUGAGACACGGACCAGACUCCUACGGGAGGCAGCAGUGAGGAAUAUUGGACAAUGGGCGCAAGCCUGAUCCAGCCAUGCCGCGUGCAGGAUGACGGUCCUAUGGAUUGUAAACUGCUUUUGUACGGGAAGAAACACUCCUACGUGUAGGAGCUUGACGGUACCGUAAGAAUAAGGAUCGGCUAACUCCGUGCCAGCCGCCGCAGUAA